GUGAUUUCAAGGUAUUACAGCAACGAGCACAGAAAACCUGUCAGGGGAUUGGAGUGAAGCUAGGAACUUCGGGCAGAGUGCGCACUUCUGUGCGCCGAAGAGCUGAAAGUCGUUUUGAAAUGCAUGGGACCCACGUGCAGAACCGGCUGUAGGGAUCAGAAGAACAUCGCCCAUAUCUGAGUAGGCACUGGUUCGUGGACACAUUAGACUGACAAUAUUCGCUCAUUUUAAACAACAGAAGGAGAAGAUUAACAAGAGAAGAAUGGCAAGUGAAGAAGUACGCCUUGAGAGAUUGCGAAGGACGUUGCAUUCCUUAGCAACUCGAGUCCCAAAAGUAAUUCUGACACGAGUUGACUGGACAUUUCCUGCUUUGAAGAAUCAGGCUAGUGUUAAAUUAAGUGCAUCAUCGCACUUCAAUCAGGAUGUUAAUGCAGAGGAACUUCGUUGUGAACAGAGUGCAGGAUUGCCAGAGUUAUACGGAGGAGAGGACCUUCAUACGUGCGAGAUAUGCAAGAAAUCAUUCUCUCUUAAAUAUAAUCUAUCCUUACAUGCAAGUGGAAGGAGCAGAGAAAAAAUAUCUCGUUGUGAAAUGUGUGUCACGUUGUUAACCCCUAAGCGUAGUGAAGUAAAACGA
This is an RNA transcript of Cryptotermes secundus, 634 nucleotides long. RefSeq lists it as uncharacterized. The record is from RefSeq and is a predicted model, not a curated record. Lineage: Eukaryota; Metazoa; Arthropoda; Insecta; Blattodea; Kalotermitidae. The transcript is spliced from 3 exons.